GACGAACGCUGGCGGCGUGCCUAAUACAUGCAAGUCGAGCGGACGAAUCGAAAGCUUGCUUUUGAUUCGUUAGCGGCGGACGGGUGAGUAACACGUGGGCAACCUGCCCUGUAGACGGGGAUAACACCGAGAAAUCGGUGCUAAUACCGGAUAACACGAAAUGUCGCAUGACGUUUCGUUGAAAGACGGCGCAAGCUGUCGCUACAGGAUGGGCCCGCGGCGCAUUGGCUAGUGUGGGAGGUAACGGCUCACCAAGGCGACUAUGCGUAGCCGACCUGAGGGGGUGAUCGGCCACACUGGGACUGAGACACGGCCCAGACUCCUACGGGAGGCAGCAGUAGGGAAUCUGCCGCAAUGGACGAAAGUCUUACGGAGCAACGCCGCGUCAGCGAAGAAGGCCUUCGGGUCGUAAAGCUCUGUUGUUAGGUAAGAACAAGUAACGCAGUAACUGGCGUGACCGUGACGGUACCUAACGAGAAAGCCACGGCUAACUACGUG
RNAcentral lists this ribosomal RNA (498 nucleotides) under uncultured bacterium. Its description in RNAcentral is "partial 16S ribosomal RNA". It matches the Rfam family "Bacterial small subunit ribosomal RNA", at positions 28 to 507 of the family's 1533-position model. The record is from RNAcentral.